Molecule: long non-coding RNA, 1352 nt
Organism: Ananas comosus (pineapple)
Lineage: Eukaryota; Viridiplantae; Streptophyta; Magnoliopsida; Poales; Bromeliaceae
Exons: 5
Source: RefSeq, a predicted model, not a curated record
UCCACUCCCCAGCCCUCUUUAACUUCUAAUUCUCCGUCACGUUCUCUCUCUAAAAUUUGGGUGAGGAUGGUGUAGUAGUGGCAGCUUGUGGGCUGAUGUUGUGAGGCCUAUCCGAGCAUAGGGACCAGCUGAGAAAGAGCUGGAGCUCAAGCUUUUGAAUAGUUAAAAUGAUAGGUGUAUGCAUAGAAAUUUCAGAAUAAGCUGAAAUAAGGAGAGGAAGCAUGCAACUGUUAGUGUUGGAGCGUUUGUUGAUCCGAACUGAAAGGAUGGCAGCAGGUGCAGAAAUUCUUGUGGCUAGAGUAUAUAAUUAAGAUUUGGACUCCGAACUAAUUGGAGCUGUCGAGUUGGAGAUUUAGCUGAAAGAAAUAAUUUGGAGCUGAGAAAUCUCUUGAGGAAGCUUCAAGUCCAGAUAUUCAAGUAGAAGGGUUGAGGAAGUUGCGUUGGUGAAUCUGGCGCCCACCUUGAAGAGGAUUGGUGGAACACUUGGGUAAUCCGAGCUGAGAAGAAAAUCUGGAGUAAUUCCAGCAGAGGAAAUCUAAAAAUUAGAGUUAGACAUGCUCGGAAGUCCAAAUUGACAUUCAGACAGAUUUGUGUAGCACUAAUUACGGUAGAAGCCGUUCUAGCCCUACUUGCGCCGAGUCGCAGGAGCUUGUUAUUGAUAUAGUUCGAGACGUUGGUUUCCGUUUAUUGGCAUCCCUACAGGUGGGUGGUGCUAUCCGAAAUCUUCGAAUCCCUCUUUAUGUCUAUGUCAUCUCAUUGAGCAUAUCUAUAUAUGUGAAUUGUAUCAUAUUCAUGCAUUAUAGGGAAAUCGUCAUUAUGCAAUUGAAUUUCUAUCAAGGUAAAGAACAUGUGGACAAUAGAAUAUGGACAUAGAACCCUAUGAAUGUGUGAAUGAGUAAAGGACUAUGACAAUAGUAAACUUGGUGACAUUAUGACUAGAGAUUUAGUUAUCAUCGACAUUUGAAUUAUAAAACUAGCAUAAAGAGCUAGUUAGAGUUAAAGUGUAGUAUUGUCUUUCAUUGGAUCUUCUAAAGGAAGAUCAGAUCAUACUCACAUCAGUUUUAUAUUCAAGAAAGGUCGAUCCUCCUUGAACGAUGAGCUCCAGAGUAGUCAUCUUAACUGGACCAGGAGCUAGCGUCUCCCCCAGUUGACAGUCCCGUCGGGAUGUAGCUUACCUCUCCUCGAUACUUGGGAUAUCGUCGGUGAGUUAUUGUUAACCAAAGGGUUAACCAGUUUGAUUGGGUAACAUCAUUAGAAGCAUGCAUGCAUAUUUAUCAGUUAUCAUAUAUUGUUUCUUUCAGCUUUGUACAGGCAUUGUAGUAGUUACAUGUUAUAGUUGGUUACUAUCUGUU